Molecule: ribosomal RNA, 253 nt
Filed under: uncultured bacterium
Lineage: Bacteria
Description: partial 16S ribosomal RNA
Rfam family: Bacterial small subunit ribosomal RNA
Source: RNAcentral
UACGUAGGGUGCGAGCGUUGUCCGGAAUUACUGGGCGUAAAGAGCUCGUAGGUGGUUUGUCGCGUUGUCCGUGAAAACUCACAACUCAAUUGUGGGCGUGCGGGCGAUACGGGCAGACUGGAGUACUGCAGGGGAGACUGGAAUUCCUGGUGUAGCGGUGGAAUGCGCAGAUAUCAGGAGGAACACCGGUGGCGAAGGCGGGUCUCUGGGCAAUAACUGACGCUGAGGAGCGAAAGCGUGGGGAGCGAACAGG